RNAcentral lists this long non-coding RNA (1051 nucleotides) under Eucalyptus grandis. RNAcentral describes it as "long non-coding RNA (EGRA_LNC007291)". Lineage: Eukaryota; Viridiplantae; Streptophyta; Magnoliopsida; Myrtales; Myrtaceae. The record is from RNAcentral.
AUCGGGAUUCCGCAGGGGAAUUCGGCCGCGAGGUUUGCAAAAUCGAUCUGCGUGUCCUCAACUGAGUACAUCGAAGCCCUAGCCCUCAAAGAAGCCUUCUCUCUCAUGGCGACACAAUUGUAUUGGAAGAGAUGAACUGAUUCGAGGGGGGAAGUAUAAAGCAUAGCUUAUCCAUUUUUUAUUUAAUUUCUUUUGGUCGAAAUAGCUUAUCCGUUUGCGAUCCUCUUUUUCACAUCGACGAUUCUUCUUCCUUCCCAACAUCAGACUUCUCAAAAUUCUUGGAUUGAGAUUGGAGCGAAGAUGGUUGGGUUGAGGUUGACGCUGGCGACGGCUCAGAUCUUGGGGUCUUCGUGGGCGCGCCAUCCCUCAUGCAGGUGAAACUUCGAAUUUGCUCAAUCAGAAUUCAAAAAGUGAAGAACCGUGAGAGCAUCGCAAUUGAAAACUUUGAAGAGCUCGUGUUUCGUCUACCUUGAACGUGGAUGACCCAGGAAUUGACCAAUGGGAUAUUGCUCAUAAUUCAGGAAUUGAAGGACUUGCUUCCUAGAAGCAGAUAAAUUGGUUUAUCUUUUGAGUCGACUUUGACAUUUUUACGUUUGUAUACUGAUUACACCAGAUCCUCCCCGAAGCAAAAUUUCAGAACCAAAAAAGCAAGAAGACGUGCAACAAUUGAAGAAAGAAAGAGAGAGGGCUUAGGUUGGACAUCCGUGUAGUUCAAUGAACUGACACUGAGCACUCACUGAAGGAGAAGGAACAGAGGGGGCUUGACCAUACUACUGUCAAGGAGCAAAAGCAGAUGAUUUUUGAAUUUAAUCCAUAAUUCUUCCCUCCAUCAACUUCUAUGUGGUCUCGAGCUGUUAACAGCAGACAUAUAGCGAAGGAGGAGAAAUUAGCAAAUAGCAAUAGGCCUGGUGAUCAUGAUUGGUUGCAAUAAAAAGUUGUUUUCUGAGGAACGACAAUGUUAAAUUCAUUCACUGCUGGUGUUUGCAAUGAAAAGUGAUGUUCUUACAAUGAAAAUUCAUUGAAGUUGUUAUGACAGAAUUUUCAUUUCUGC